RNAcentral lists this non-coding RNA (225 nucleotides) under Amphibacillus xylanus. RNAcentral describes it as "T-box sequence". It matches the Rfam family "T-box leader". Rfam says of the family: Uncharged tRNA acts as the effector for transcription antitermination of genes in the T-box leader family. T-boxes are found upstream of many aminoacyl-tRNA synthetase genes and some amino acid biosynthetic genes usually in Gram-positive bacteria. Lineage: Bacteria; Bacillati; Bacillota; Bacilli; Caryophanales; Bacillaceae. The record is from RNAcentral.
CAUAAAAUGUUGAAGAGGAAAGAGAUUAGUAUCACGCUUACUUAGAGAGAAUCACCUUGGCUGGAAGUGAUUUUAAGCAGACUAAUUUUAUGCACCUCGGAGUCUUCUGCUGAAUGAUAUAGUAAGUAGAAGCGGCGACUCACCGUUAUUUGAGUUCAAGUUGAAAGUAACCAAAUGAUGUUACUCUAAACAGAGUGGAACCGCGUUUAUUUAGGCGUCUCUGUG